GUUGUUUUCUGCACCACCAAAAUGUAGUUUAUAUUUAGUUUAGAGGGCCAGACCUAUGUGGAAACACGUCCGUCCAUCUUGAGUGCCAUGCCUCGCGGAGGCUAUUUUAAACACUGCUUUUUAAAAAAACCAUAUUACAUGGUCACCUAGACUGAAAAGAGACCUGUCUCCAUCACGUUUAGCCAUAGCAUGGGUUGCGAUCCAAAUGUAUUAGUGAUGAGAAAGCAGCCAUGGACUCUACCGUUUCCACCUUGUGGGUCUCAUUAGCAUUGGACCGGUUCUAUAUUUAUUUAUGAUAAACUUUAGAUACUGGAUGAAUCUGAUAAUACAUUGCAGAGUACCAGAUCUAAGGCAAGGGAAAGUAGUUAAUUAUUAUUUAAAAAAAAAUAAACAUCAUUCUUUACGUGUCAGAUGAUGUUUCUAUCAAAGAAACAAAUGGAUCCAUGAGCUUAAAUCAUGUCCUCCUCUUCCACCGUGAACUCUAAAUGACAUGCAUGACUUCCUAUAAUUCCUAGAAUGUGAGUACAUACCAGGAAUUAUGGAUUCUAUCACCAUCCCUUUUAGGGUGGGUGCUGCUGCAACCAAAUUUAAAAACUUUAUACAGUUUUCAGCUAUACAUGUUCUAAUACUUUUGCUAGCAUAAAUUAAAGAAUAGUUAUGUCAUAGUCACCAAAUCAUGAUAACUGCACUUCAAUAGUUGGUUAUUGUUUGCUUGUUUUUCUUAUUAACUCAUUGCAUUUGAUAGAAUAUUAGAAAUAAUUAAAUUUCCUUAAAGGACCACUAUAGUGCCAGGAAAACAUACUCAUUUUCCUGGCACUAUAGUGUCCUGAGGGUGCCCCCACCCUCAGGGUCCCCCUCCCGCCCGGCUCUGGAAAGAGGAAAAGGGGUAAAACUUACCUUUUUCCAGCGCCGCGCGGGGAGCUCUCCUCCUCCGAUCCUCCCCGUCUGCUGAAUGCGCAGGCGCGGCAAGAACUGCGCGCGCAUUCAGCCGGUCGCAUAGUAAAGCAUUAUCAAUGCUUUCCUAUGGACGCUUGCGUGCUCUCACUGUGAUUUUCACAGUGAGAAUCACGCAAGCGCCUCUAGCGCCUGUCAAUGAGACAGCCGCUAGAGGCUUUGGGGGAAGGCUUAACCCAAUUAUAAAC
Molecule: non-coding RNA, 1142 nt
Organism: Pelobates cultripes (western spadefoot toad)
Lineage: Eukaryota; Metazoa; Chordata; Amphibia; Anura; Pelobatidae
Source: the annotation of a GenBank genome assembly